GACCCGGGGAUUAACGGGCUUUGGGAACAUAAGGGAGGGAGGAGGGCAAAUUGGAUCAGAGUUCUUCUGGCGCGGUGGAAGAGCCCAGCCGUCCUCAGCGUCCGUGUGACGCCUGCAGGGUGGAGCUGGAAACGAUCGGCCAGAAAAAGUCCCCAAGGCGAGGAUCUUCCCCAGCCCCCAUCGGGCAGCUGAAGAGGCUGUCUAGGCUACGCGGGGGACCCUUCUCUUUGUCAGUGAGCAUGGGCUGCAAGACGAAUAUCUUCCGUGCCGGCACUGCUCCAUUGACGGGGGCCGACCUCUGAGUAUGAUUCCAGAUGAGUCUCUGCUCUCAGCACUCAAUAUCGAAGUGGCCUCGCACGUCUCUCAUCAGCCGUAGGCAGGGUUGUCACCUGUCCAGGUUUCCCCAGGAUCGUCCUCUUGUUGAGGCAGCUGAGAAAUCUGUGAGUCUUCCUGGGGCCGGUGUUUGUCAGUUGUGUAAUAAUAAUAAUAAUCAUCAUUAUCACACCCCACUCAAGGAAAUGCGUUUACGUGCAGUUCCCUCCUCUUCCGAUAUUGUGAGAUACGGUACUCUACUGCCAAUGUCCUGAGUGUUUUUGUACUUUAGAGGCGGCAAUCCUGGGCGUUGUUAAUGUUAGUUUUCGGGCUAGGGUCUGGCUGGCUGGUGUGGUUAGUGUUAGUGGUAGGGCUAGGAUCUGGCUGGUGUGGUUAGUGUUAGUGGUAG
Long non-coding RNA from Petromyzon marinus (sea lamprey), 721 nucleotides. RefSeq lists it as uncharacterized. Lineage: Eukaryota; Metazoa; Chordata; Hyperoartia; Petromyzontiformes; Petromyzontidae. The record is from RefSeq and is a predicted model, not a curated record.